Molecule: transfer RNA, 75 nt
Filed under: Candidatus Nomurabacteria bacterium RIFCSPHIGHO2_02_40_30
Lineage: Bacteria; Candidatus Nomuraibacteriota
Also listed under: 4 other names
Description: tRNA-Thr
Rfam family: tRNA
About the family: Transfer RNA (tRNA) molecules are approximately 80 nucleotides in length. Their secondary structure includes four short double-helical elements and three loops (D, anti-codon, and T loops). Further hydrogen bonds mediate the characteristic L-shaped molecular structure. tRNAs have two regions of fundamental functional importance: the anti-codon, which is responsible for specific mRNA codon recognition, and the 3' end, to which the tRNAs corresponding amino acid is attached (by aminoacyl-tRNA synthetases). tRNAs cope with the degeneracy of the genetic code in two manners: having more than one tRNA (with a specific anti-codon) for a particular amino acid; and 'wobble' base-pairing, i.e. permitting non-standard base-pairing at the 3rd anti-codon position.
Source: RNAcentral
GCCGUUGUAGCUUAGUGGUAAAGCACGUCAUUGGUAAUGACGAGACCGUGAGUCCGAUCCUCACCAACGGCUCCA